GCGAAAGUGGCGGAAUUGGUAGACGCGCUGGAUUUAGGAUCCAGUUCCGUGAGGAGUGGGGGUUCGAAUCCCCCCUUUCGCA
RNAcentral lists this transfer RNA (82 nucleotides) under candidate division GN15 bacterium. RNAcentral describes it as "tRNA-Leu". It matches the Rfam family "tRNA". From Rfam's summary of the family: Transfer RNA (tRNA) molecules are approximately 80 nucleotides in length. The record is from RNAcentral. RNAcentral also lists the same sequence under 1 other name.